GCCGAGCUCGCUCCAGGCCAGGCAGAGCCGGGAGCGCGGGCGGCUGCCGCGGGUGAGGAAGCUGUACCUUGAAGACAAAGUGACAGUAGAGUCUGUUCCUAGUGUCCAGGAGAGAUGGAAAGGAAUAAUGUGGAGAGGAGACACAAGGUGAG
RNAcentral lists this long non-coding RNA (152 nucleotides) under Cavia porcellus (domestic guinea pig). RNAcentral describes it as "lncRNA (ENSCPOG00000040033.1)". Lineage: Eukaryota; Metazoa; Chordata; Mammalia; Rodentia; Caviidae. The record is from RNAcentral.